This 253-nucleotide ribosomal RNA is filed under the name uncultured bacterium. RNAcentral's name for it is "partial 16S ribosomal RNA". It matches the Rfam family "Bacterial small subunit ribosomal RNA", at positions 524 to 776 of the family's 1533-position model. The record is from RNAcentral.
UACGUAGGUGGCAAGCGUUGUUCGGAUUCAUUGGGCGUAAAGGGUGCGUAGGUGGCAGGGUAAGUCGGAUGUGAAAUCCCGGGGCUCAACCUCGGAACUGCAUUCGAUACUGCUUUGCUUGAGUACUGGAGAGGAGAUUGGAAUUUACGGUGUAGCAGUGAAAUGCGUAGAUAUCGUAAGGAAGACCAGUGGCGAAGGCGGAUCUCUGGACAGUUACUGACACUGAGGCACGAAGGCCAGGGGAGCAAACGGG